CUGUCGCUAAAGGAUGGACCUGCGAUGCAUUAGCUAGUUGGUAAGGUAAAGGACUUACCAAGGCGAUGAUGCAUAGCCGAGUUGAGAGACUGAUCGGCCACAUUGGGACUGAGACACGGCCCAAACUCCUACGGGAGGGCAGCAGUAGGGAAUUUUCCACAAUGGACGCAAGUCUGAUGGAGCAACGCCGCGUGAGUGAAGAAGGUUUUCGGAUCGUGAAGCUCUGUUGUUGGUGAAGAAGGAUAGAGGUAGUAACUGGCCUUUAUUUGACGGUAAUCAACCAGAAAGUCACGGGCUAACUACGUGCCAGCAGCCGCGGUAAAU
This 324-nucleotide ribosomal RNA is filed under the name uncultured Lactobacillus sp. RNAcentral describes it as "bacterial SSU rRNA". It matches the Rfam family "Bacterial small subunit ribosomal RNA", at positions 212 to 525 of the family's 1533-position model. Lineage: Bacteria; Bacillati; Bacillota; Bacilli; Lactobacillales; Lactobacillaceae. The record is from RNAcentral.